AGUGAACGCUGGCGGUAGGCCUAACACAUGCAAGUCGAACGGCAGCACAGGAGAGCUUGCUCUCUGGGUGGCGAGUGGCGGACGGGUGAGGAAUACAUCGGAAUCUACUCUGUCGUGGGGGAUAACGUAGGGAAACUUACGCUAAUACCGCAUACGACCUACGGGUGAAAGCAGGGGACCUUCGGGCCUUGCGCGAUUGAAUGAGCCGAUGUCGGAUUAGCUAGUUGGCGGGGUAAAGGCCCACCAAGGCGACGAUCCGUAGCUGGUCUGAGAGGAUGAUCAGCCAAAGUGGAACUGAGGCACGGUCCAGACUCAUACGGGAGGCAGCAGUGGGGAAUAUUGGACAAUGGGCGCAAGGCUGAUCCAGCCAUACCGCGUGGGUGAAGAAGGCCUUCGGGUUGUAAAGCCCUGUUGUUGGGAAAGAAAUCCAGCUGGCUAAUACCCGGUGGGGAUGACGGUACCCAAAGAAUAAGCACCGGCUAACUUCGUGCCAGCCGCCGCGGUAA
This 506-nucleotide ribosomal RNA is filed under the name uncultured bacterium. RNAcentral describes it as "partial 16S ribosomal RNA". It matches the Rfam family "Bacterial small subunit ribosomal RNA", at positions 29 to 523 of the family's 1533-position model. The record is from RNAcentral.